UACGGAGGGUGCGAGCGUUGUCCGGAAUCACUGGGCGUAAAGGGCGCGUAGGCGGCAUGCCAAGCGUGCGGUGAAAGUCCGGGGCUCAACCCCGGAUCUGCCGUGCGGACUGGUUUGCUAGAGCACUGUAGAGGCGAGUGGAAUUCCGGGUGUAGCGGUGGAAUGCGUAGAGAUCCGGAAGAACACCGGUGGCGAAGGCGGCUCGCUGGGCAGUGGCUGACGCUGAGGCGCGACAGCGUGGGGAGCAAACAGG
This 253-nucleotide ribosomal RNA is filed under the name uncultured bacterium. RNAcentral describes it as "partial 16S ribosomal RNA". It matches the Rfam family "Bacterial small subunit ribosomal RNA", at positions 524 to 776 of the family's 1533-position model. The record is from RNAcentral.